RNAcentral lists this ribosomal RNA (800 nucleotides) under Bacillus safensis. RNAcentral's name for it is "bacterial SSU rRNA". It matches the Rfam family "Bacterial small subunit ribosomal RNA", at positions 25 to 805 of the family's 1533-position model. The record is from RNAcentral. Lineage: Bacteria; Bacillati; Bacillota; Bacilli; Caryophanales; Bacillaceae.
UUGGGGGGAUGCUGGUUGAUGCUGGCGCUCGCAUCGCAAGUCGAGCGGACAGAAGGGAGCUUGCUCCCGGAUGUUAGCGGCGGACGGGUGAGUAACACGUGGGUAACCUGCCUGUAAGACUGGGAUAACUCCGGGAAACCGGAGCUAAUACCGGAUAGUUCCUUGAACCGCAUGGUUCAAGGAUGAAAGACGGUUUCGGCUGUCACUUACAGAUGGACCCGCGGCGCAUUAGCUAGUUGGUGGGGUAAUGGCUCACCAAGGCGACGAUGCGUAGCCGACCUGAGAGGGUGAUCGGCCACACUGGGACUGAGACACGGCCCAGACUCCUACGGGAGGCAGCAGUAGGGAAUCUUCCGCAAUGGACGAAAGUCUGACGGAGCAACGCCGCGUGAGUGAUGAAGGUUUUCGGAUCGUAAAGCUCUGUUGUUAGGGAAGAACAAGUGCGAGAGUAACUGCUCGCACCUUGACGGUACCUAACCAGAAAGCCACGGCUAACUACGUGCCAGCAGCCGCGGUAAUACGUAGGUGGCAAGCGUUGUCCGGAAUUAUUGGGCGUAAAGGGCUCGCAGGCGGUUUCUUAAGUCUGAUGUGAAAGCCCCCGGCUCAACCGGGGAGGGUCAUUGGAAACUGGGAAACUUGAGUGCAGAAGAGGAGAGUGGAAUUCCACGUGUAGCGGUGAAAUGCGUAGAGAUGUGGAGGAACACCAGUGGCGAAGGCGACUCUCUGGUCUGUAACUGACGCUGAGGAGCGAAAGCGUGGGGAGCGAACAGGAUUAUAUACCCUGGUAGUCCACGCCGUAU